RNAcentral lists this long non-coding RNA (665 nucleotides) under Callithrix jacchus (white-tufted-ear marmoset). Its description in RNAcentral is "lncRNA (ENSCJAG00000065746.2)". Lineage: Eukaryota; Metazoa; Chordata; Mammalia; Primates; Cebidae. The record is from RNAcentral.
CCCACCCCUGCUCCCACCAUGGGCCUUAGGUUUUCCCCAGGAAACCUGGAGCACCUUGAGACUGGGGAUUGUGUCUGCCCCAGCAGGCAGGAAACCAGGGCUCAAGCUUCCAAGCCCUGCCCUUUGUGAGCUUCUAGGAUACACACUUCAUUCUGACCCUGGGACAAGGAGCCAGUGAUCCAGACAUCUAUAACCACCUGAGCUACACAGGGACCCAGAGAGACCUGCCAGAUUCUCAUUUAUCAGCUAAAGAAACUGAGACACAAGCGUCCCUCCCCUCCAGAGGAUGCAGCAACAGGUGCCAUCCUGGACGCAGAGAGUCGCCCUCAACAGACAACUGAACCUGCCGGCAGCUUGAUUUUGGACUUCCCGGCCUGCAGAACUGUGAGAAAGAGAUUUCCAGUUACAAAUGACUUAGUCUCAGAAAAAGUCUGCUGGCUGCUGAUUUGAAACAUUCAAGGAAGUGUCCUGGAUGCAGCUCGGGCCUUUGACUGAAGUCCAAGACAGCGGCAAGGGGAGUCCCUUGCUGGCUCCUCUGAGCACUGGCCGCUUCGUAGGAAAAGCUGGAUUUUCAAAGGAGUCCUAGAGAAGCCUUCCUUCCGAGAGCUACCGAGAAAUGCUGGCUGAGUCAGCGGCCCUUGUCAAGCCGGGAGAGGAAGGUAUUG